AGAGUUUGAUCAUGGCUCAGAGUGAACGCUAGCGGCGUACCUAACACAUGCAAGUCGUGCGAGAAACCAAGGCUUCGGCCUUGGGAGUAAAGCGGCGGACGGGUGAGUAACACGUAGGUAACCUACUUCCGAGCGGGGGAUAACCUGCCGAAAGGUGGGCUAAUACCCCAUAAGCUCACGGAUACUACGGUAUCUGUGAGAAAAGGUGGCCUCUGCAUGCAAGCUGCUGCUCGGAGAUGGGCCUGCGUCCCAUCAGCUAGUUGGUAGGGUAAUGGCCUACCAAGGCAACGACGGGUAGCCGGCCUGAGAGGGUGGUCGGCCACACUGGCACUGAGACACGGGCCAGACUCCUACGGGAGGCAGCAGUGAGGAAUAUUGGGCAAUGGGCGCAAGCCUGACCCAGUGACGCCGCGUGGGUGAUGAAGGCCUUCGGGUCGUAAAGCCCUGUCGGGCGGGAAGAAUACCUGAUAGGUGAAUAGCCUAUUGGGUUGACGGUACCGCCAGAGGAAGCACCGGCUAACUCCGUGCCAGCAGCCGCGGUAAUACGGAGGGUGCAAGCGUUACUCGGAAUUACUGGGCGUAAAGUGCGCGUAGGUGGGAAGGUAAAUUAAGCGUGGAAGCCUAGGGCUCAACCCUAGAAUUGCGCUUAAAAUUGCCUUCCUUGAGUCUUGGAGAGGGAGGCGGAACUCCCGGUGUAGGGGUGAAAUCCGUAGAUAUCGGGAGGAACACCGGUGGCGAAGGCGGCCUCCUGGCCAAGUACUGACACUGAGGCGCGAAAGCGUGGGGAGCAAACAGGAUUAGA
This 802-nucleotide ribosomal RNA is filed under the name uncultured bacterium. RNAcentral's name for it is "bacterial SSU rRNA". It matches the Rfam family "Bacterial small subunit ribosomal RNA", at positions 8 to 782 of the family's 1533-position model. The record is from RNAcentral.